GAUGAAGAACGCAGCGAAAUGCGAUACGUAAUGUGAAUUGCAGAAUUCAGUGAAUCAUCGAGUCUUUGAACGCACAUUGCGCCCCCUGGUAUUCCGGGGGGCAUGCCUGUCCGAGCGUCAUUGCUGCCCUCAAGCACGGCUUGUGUGUUGGGCCUCCGUCCUCCUCCCGGGGGACGGGCCCGAAAGGCAGCGGCGGCACCGCGUCCGGUCCUCGAGCGUAUGGGGCUUCGUCACCCGCUCUUGUAGGCCCGGCCGGCGCUUGCCGACACAUCAAUCUUUUUUCCAGGUUGACCUCGGAUCAGGUAAGGAUACCCGCUGAACUUAAGCAUAUCAAUAAGCGGAGGA
Molecule: unclassified non-coding RNA, 345 nt
Filed under: soil metagenome
Description: partial contains 5.8S ribosomal RNA, internal transcribed spacer 2, and large subunit ribosomal RNA
Rfam family: 5.8S ribosomal RNA (bases 1-120)
Source: RNAcentral